This 286-nucleotide unclassified non-coding RNA is filed under the name Hevea brasiliensis (rubber tree). Lineage: Eukaryota; Viridiplantae; Streptophyta; Magnoliopsida; Malpighiales; Euphorbiaceae. The record is from RNAcentral.
GGAAAUGGUAGCGUUAAGUGGUGCUCAUACGAUUGGAUUCUCGCAUUGUAAGGAAUUCAGCUCUCAGAUCUAUAAUUAUAGCAAGUCGUCUUCGUAUGAUUCGCAGUAUAACCCUAGAUUCGCGCAAGGAUUGCAGAAGGCUUGUUCUGGUUUUGAAAAGAAUCCUACAUUAUCGGUUUUCAAUGACAUUAUGACUCCCAAUAAAUUUGAUAACUCUUACUUCCAGAAUCUGCCGAAGGGAUUGGGGAUCUUGCAGUCUGAUCAUGGGUUGUAUAAUGAUUGGAGG